CAGCCGCCACGGUAAUACGUAGGUGGCAAGCGUUGUCCGGAAUUAUUGGGCGUAAAGGGCUCGCAGGCGGUUUCUUAAGUCUGAUGUGGAAGCCCCCGGCUCAACCGGGGAGGGUCAUUGGAAACUGGGAAACUUGAGUGCAGAAGAGGAGAGUGGAAUUCCACGUGUAGCGGUGAAAUGCGUAGAGAUGUGGAGGAACACCAGUGGCGAAGGCGACUCUCUGGUCUGUAACUGACGCUGAGGAGCGAAAGCGUGGGGAGCGAACAGGAUUAGAUACCCGCGUAGUCCCUGUCUCUUAUAC
Molecule: ribosomal RNA, 301 nt
Filed under: uncultured bacterium
Lineage: Bacteria
Description: partial 16S ribosomal RNA
Rfam family: Bacterial small subunit ribosomal RNA
Source: RNAcentral